RNAcentral lists this long non-coding RNA (1373 nucleotides) under Pan troglodytes (chimpanzee). Its description in RNAcentral is "lincRNA". Lineage: Eukaryota; Metazoa; Chordata; Mammalia; Primates; Hominidae. The record is from RNAcentral.
UCAGCCUCCCGAGUAGCUGGGGCUACAGGCACCUGCCACCACACCCGGCUAAUUUUUUUGUAUUUUUAGUAGAGACGGGGUUUCACCGUGUUAGCCAGGAUCUUCUUGAUCUCCUGACCUUGUGAUCCACCCGCCUCGGCCUCCCAAAGUGCUGGGAUUACAGGUGUGAGCCACCGCACCUGGUCCAAGAACCCAAGUUUUAGAUCUAGAGUGAUGUCAGCAUGACAUUGAUUUCCUGAGGCCCAGGGGUGAAGGAGCUGAGGACAGCAGAGGGGUGAAGGAACUCAGCUACAGACAGCAGCAGCUGAUGCACAGGCCUCCCAGCGCCUGAAGUCACCCGGAAUUGGGAAGUGCUCAGAAGCUUACAAAGCUGCCUCGAGGUGGGAACACGACAUAAAUCCAAGAGCAGAUCCCUGAUCCUAUAAAAAUGUACUAGAUGCAGUGGGGUCAUUUUAAAUGAGCAGAGAAGGACAGACAGAUAAACAGAAGGACAAACAGUAUUGGGAUUGGGAUAAAUGCUCAGCUUUUGCCCAAAUCUUAGUGACUUAAGCAUCACUUAUUUGCUCACGAUUCUGUGGCUGGACCAUUUGGUUUGGCUCACAGGGCAGGGACUGUGCUGGUCUUACCUGAGCAGACCUGCAUGUCUGCGGUCAACUGGGUUGGCAGAGACAGAGUGACUGUCUUCCUCCAGGAAGCAGCAGGUUAACUGGUUGGCAGAGACAGAGGGACUGUCUUCCUCCAGGAAGCAGCAGGUUAACUGGUUGGCAGAGACAGAGGGACUGAGGGACUGUCCUCCUCCAGGAAGCAGCAGGUUAACUGGUUGGCAGAGACAGAGGGACUGAGGGACUGUCUUCCUCCAGGAAGCAGCAGGUUGGCUCUGUUUCCUUCGUGGGGUAGCUGGUCUCCAGGGCAGCAAGAGAGACCAAGCCCCAGUGCACAUUCUACAGCCUCUGUGCACAUCAGACUUGUUAAUAUCCCAUUGGCCAGUGUAAGUCACAUGGCCAAGCCCAGAUUAAGGAGUGGAAAGAUGGAGACUAUCUCCUCCUGGGAGAGGAGGCAAAGGAGGUGGGAGCAUUAUGUGGCCAUUUAUGUUUGCAAUCUACCAUACUUAGCACUUUGAGAAAAGAAUUAACUGAGAAACUUGCUUCAAAUAGGGCAUUCAGUAAAAUGAAGCCCCAAUUGAAGUAAAAGGCAUAUAUAAAAAAUGAAACUGUGACCGAUUUUAAGGACAGUAUUGGCAAAUAUUUCUGUGCUCUUGGAGGAGAAGACCCUUAUUUGCAUGACAUGUCAGAAACCACAAUGAAAGAAUUAUUUUAACUUGCAUUCAUAAAAAUUAAAAUUAUUCAUUAAAAACAUCGUGAAUGAAAUUAAAA